GGCCAGCUGACACAUCCCUGCCAAUCUCCGGCAGACUCUCCCUCCCAGACCCUCCUACAUCCUGGACAGCAUCCAUGUUGAAGCUGCCUUCAGCAUGGAUGCUGUCCAGGAAGUAGGAGGGUCUGGGAGGGAGGGUCUGCCGGAGAUUGGCAGGGAUGUGUCAGCUG
This 167-nucleotide microRNA precursor is filed under the name Pelobates cultripes (western spadefoot toad). Lineage: Eukaryota; Metazoa; Chordata; Amphibia; Anura; Pelobatidae. The record is from RNAcentral.